UACGGGGGGAGCAAGCGUUGUUCGGAUUUACUGGGCGUAAAGGGUGCGUAGGCGGCGGGGCAAGUCUGAUGUGAAAUCCCGGGGCUCAACCCCGGAACUGCAUUGGAUACUGCCUUGCUCGAGUACUGGAGAGGGAACUGGAAUUUACGGUGUAGCAGUGAAAUGCGUAGAGAUCGUAAGGAAGGCCAGUGGCGAAGGCGAGUUCCUGGACAGUUACUGACGCUGAGGCACGAAGGCCAGGGGAGCAAACGGG
This 253-nucleotide ribosomal RNA is filed under the name uncultured bacterium. RNAcentral describes it as "partial 16S ribosomal RNA". It matches the Rfam family "Bacterial small subunit ribosomal RNA", at positions 524 to 776 of the family's 1533-position model. The record is from RNAcentral.